Molecule: unclassified non-coding RNA, 238 nt
Filed under: uncultured Marasmius
Lineage: Eukaryota; Fungi; Basidiomycota; Agaricomycetes; Agaricales; Tricholomataceae
Description: sequence contains ITS1
Source: RNAcentral
UUGAAAUGCUUUGGAGAAGUACUGUUGCUGGCCUCUUAACAGAGGCAUGUGCACGUCUUCUUUAAAUCUAUUCAUCCACCUGUGCACUUUUUGUAGAAGUUCUUGUGAGGUUUUGGGGUUUUGGUUGUGGACUUAGGUCUGCAGUUGAUUCUUUGCGAGUCUUCUAUGUCUUACAAACUCUAUUAGUAUGUUUUAGAAUGUCUUUUAUUGGGACUUCAUUGGCCCUUUAAACUUUAUA